RNAcentral lists this microRNA precursor (124 nucleotides) under Daucus carota subsp. sativus. Its description in RNAcentral is "sRNA DCAR_mi00131". The record is from RNAcentral. Lineage: Eukaryota; Viridiplantae; Streptophyta; Magnoliopsida; Apiales; Apiaceae.
CAAUACUAUGAUUAAUGGGUAUUAUAGGGUUAAGAACGUGGAGGAAGCUGAGAAAUAUUUUGCGGAGAUGAAGGGAAGAGAUAUAGUUCCUAAUGUAAUUACUUAUACCACCAUGAUUAAAGGG